GACAGAGGGUGCAAGCGUUGUUCGGAAUUAUUGGGCGUAAAGGGCGCGUAGGCGGCGUGACAAGUCACUUGUGAAAUCUCUGGGCUUAACCCAGAACGGCCAAGUGAAACUGUUGUGCUAGAGUGCAGAAGGGGCAAUCGGAAUUCUCGGUGUAGCGGUGAAAUGCGUAGAUAUCGAGAGGAACACCAGAGGUGAAGACGGGUUGCUGGGCUGACACUGACGCUGAGGCGCGAAAGCCAGGGGAGCAAACGGG
Molecule: ribosomal RNA, 253 nt
Filed under: uncultured bacterium
Lineage: Bacteria
Description: partial 16S ribosomal RNA
Rfam family: Bacterial small subunit ribosomal RNA
Source: RNAcentral